CUGGGAGUUGUAGUCCGGCGCGCUGCUGCCCAAGAUGGCGGACCGGCGGCGGCAACGCGCCUCGCAGGACAGCGAGGACGAUUCGGAUUCCGCCGCCUCCGACAGCGGCGAUUCGGCCGCCAGCGCUGCCCGUUCCCGUUCGGCAUCCGGAUCGCAAUCCGGUUCGCCUCACCGACCGCCUCGGCGGGGCUCGGCCGGGGCCCUCGGAACGGGGCCUCGGGGCCGCGGGGCCGAGAGCGCGGCCGGGGGAGCGGCCAAGAGCCAGGCCGAGUCCGAGUGUGAAAGCGAGGAUGGCAUUGAAGGAGAUGCUGUGCUCUCAGAUUAUGAAAGCGCUGAAGACUCAGAGGCCGAGGAAGAGGAUUACAGCGAGGAAGAAAGUGCCAAAGUGGAACUGAAGCAGGAUAGUAAUGGUUCCUGUGAGUCAGCGGCAAAAGCAGAGAAAGGGGAUGAGAAACCCGACUCCAAAGGCGCGGUGACUGGCGAGAGGCAAAGCGGCGAUGGGCAGGAGAGCACUGAGCCUGUUGAGAAUAAAGUGGGGAAAAAGGUUCCCAAGCACCUGGAUGAUGACGAGGAUCGGAAGAACCCAGCUUACAUCCCACGUAAAGGGCUUUUCUUUGAGCAUGACCUGCGAGGGCAGACGCAGGAGGAGGAGGUCAGGCCAAAAGGUCGUCAGCGGAAGCUGUGGAAGGAUGAGGGCCGCUGGGAGCACGACAAAUUCCGGGAGGAUGAGCAGGCCCCCAAAACCAGGCAGGAGCUGAUUGCGCUUUAUGGGUAUGAUAUCAGGUCAGCUCACAACCCAGACGACAUCAAGCCGAGGAGGAUGCGCAAACCGAGGUUUGGGAGUCCUCAGCGAGACCCAAACUGGUCCAACGAGAGGCCAAAUAAGCCCCCAAGGCACCAGGGUCCAGACAGCACUUCUGCUCCUCCACGAACCUUCACCAACAGGAGCUCCGCGGGGACGGGGAGGAUGCCACCGCCUAGGAACUACCCGAGGAUGGGUGGCUACAAAGAGAGCCGUCCAGGCUACCGAACUUCAGAAGCAAGCGUCCAGCAUCUGUCUCGAAACGGUGAACAAACGAAACAUGAGAGCAGCUAUCGAGUGAAGCGUGCAGAGCAAACCCCACCGAGAGAUAAGUCACCCGAGAUGGAAGCGGCGCACGUCCACAGCAGCCCUGUGAAGGAGGAGAUUGCUUUGGAAAACCAAGCCGCUGCUGCUGACGCUACACAGCCACCACCAGACAGACCAAUUGAAAAGAAAUCUUAUUCCCGGGCAAGAAGGACCAGAAUCAAAGCUGGGGAUGCAGGGAAGCUGCCUGAUGAAGUACCCGCUUCGGAAGGGCUGACUCCUGUGCCUCCAAAACCCGCGCAAGCUGAGACGUCCCCCCCACCAGCCAAGAGCAGUAACUGGGAGUCGCCGGUAGAAUCCAACUUGGAUGGACUCGAGCAAGAGAUGACCCAAAUGAAUCUUGCCGAGCAGAACUGGACACCGGGGCAGUCUCAGUUCAUUCAGCCCCGGGAGCUGAGGGGUAUCCCUAACCAUAUGCACGUGGGAACUGGGCCACCGCCUCAGUUUAACAGGAUGGAGGAAAUGGCGGUGCAGGGGGGCCGUGUGAAACGCUACUCGUCGCAGCGGCAGAGACCACCGGUGCCGGAACCUGCUCCUCCCAUGCACAUCAGCAUCAUGGAAGGGCACUACUACGACCCACUCCAAUUCCAGGGACCAAUCUACACCCACAGUGAGAAUCCAGCCCCGCUACCACCCCAAGGGAUGAUCGUACAGCCAGAAAUGCACCUCCCUCAUCCAGGCUUACAUCCCCACCAGACGCCAGCCCCCAUGGCAAACCCUGGGCUGUACCCUCCGCCAGUCUCCAUGCCCCCAGGCCAGCCCCCACCGCAGCAGCUGCUUGCGCCGACUUACUUCUCCCCUCCUGGAGUCAUGAAUUUUGGGAAUCCUGGCUAUCCCUAUCCCCCAGGAGCACUACCCCCUCCGCCCCCUCCUCAUCUCUAUUCCAACACGCAGGCCCAGUCCCAGGUCUAUGGAGGAGUCACCUACUACAACACUGUCCAGCAGCAAGUGCAGCCCAAGCCUUCUCCGCCUCGAAGGACAUCCCAGCCUGUGACCAUCAAGCCACCGCCUCCCGAGCUUCUCGUUGCAGGUGGCAAGCAGGGCUCCAGUUAAUUUGAGUUUCUUAAUACUUUAAAACUAAACCCACGUAAAAAGUAAGUCUGAAGUUGGCUCUUGCUUUGUUUUUCUUUAUUUAUUCAGGUUAGAAACCAGAAUGCUUUAGAAAGGGAAAGAUCUAGUACUAAGCUAGGAGGCAGUGACUUCCCUGAAAGGAUAGAUGUUGAGACCUUAGCAGUAGAUAAUUCAGGCGAGAGACUUAAGGGCUUUCUGGAGACGAGAGCCAUUUCUCUGUGCUGGGAAGAGCUUCCUUGCUCCAGCGCCGUGAGCUCUGUGUGUGUGCCAGAGUGCCACGUGUGUGUUUGGUUUCCUUUUUAAUAUCUCGCUUAGCAGAUGGGAGCUGAGCGAGGCUGAAUCGCGGCAAGCCCGGACCCGGGCAGGCAUGUGCCGGUUGUUUCCCGGACAGCAAAGGUGAAAAAUCAAAGGAAAGAAGCAACACGUAGGGAUGCGGCCGUGGGAAACCCAACACCAGAUCCAACACCUCUGCAAGGAGGAAGCUCCUCGGGAAAGGCUCCUUCCCUGUGCGUAGGUGAGGCAGCGGGAUUAAUUCAGCUGCACCAUCUUGUGCAGGGCCAGGCACCUUCCCUCUCUGGUUUUACUGGUGCCCUCCCAAAAACCAUCUCGCCGCUGCCGAUCUGCCCUCCUUCCCCCUUCCUCCCCGGGACACAGAGGUCACCGAGGAAUCGUCCCCAGAGUCGGGCCUUGGCCACAAGUUCUCUCAACUUCUCUCUUUUGCCUGCCCUUUUCCCUUUCUAGGAUGUUCAGCUCAACUGGCUUGAUUGUGUUCUCUGUUUUUAUUUAAGAAAUGAACCAGCUCCCUCAGUAAAGCUGAUUUGUUUCUUUUG
Molecule: RNA transcript, 3027 nt
Organism: Cuculus canorus (common cuckoo)
Lineage: Eukaryota; Metazoa; Chordata; Aves; Cuculiformes; Cuculidae
Gene: CASC3
Gene name: CASC3 exon junction complex subunit
Exons: 14
Source: RefSeq, a predicted model, not a curated record